Sapajus apella (tufted capuchin) is the source of this 572-nucleotide long non-coding RNA. RefSeq lists it as uncharacterized. The record is from RefSeq and is a predicted model, not a curated record. The transcript has 2 exons. NCBI's taxonomy places the organism in Eukaryota, Metazoa, Chordata, Mammalia, Primates, Cebidae.
GGUCAAAAGCAAGAAAUAUCAAGAAACACAAGCAUACCGUAAAACCGUCAUGUUUUUGAAGGAAAAUUCGAGGAGGAACAACACAUUUGUGUCCUUUCCUUCCUUUCUCCCCGUCUUACCCAAAUAGUUCCUUCCUCCUCCUGCUUUCUCUUCCUCACAUGUUAACAUCUACAAACAUAAGAUGGUGUGUUAAAAGAUUGGAUAUGCUUCUAUGGAGAUGACUUCCAGAGGGUAUAAGUCUGAUUUGAGAGUUUUAUUACCUUGAGUAUUUUACUGGAAGAGAUAGAACAACAUUCAUAAUUAAUGUGUGGGUUAGGAGAAAAUACACUGAUAACUAUUAUUUCAGUAUUUCAUACUGAGCACUGUUUGUUUAGGAUGAAUUCACUUUAAGCCAUGUUGAAGAACAAGCCUUUAAUUGUCCCAUUAUUAGUGCCAAAUCUAUUAUAAAUUUGUUAAAAUUUGUUUAAUACCUCCCUUAGAGGGUAUUUUAGGUAUUUAAUGAGCUAGCAUUUGUUAAAGGCUUAUAUUUAUGACUUUCUAGUAAGAACUCAAUAAAUGGUAUAUUUGUUAAA